This 333-nucleotide ribosomal RNA is filed under the name Triticum aestivum (bread wheat). RNAcentral describes it as "partial small subunit ribosomal RNA". Lineage: Eukaryota; Viridiplantae; Streptophyta; Magnoliopsida; Poales; Poaceae. The record is from RNAcentral.
CAGCCUCCAAACUCCCCUGACCUAAAUAUUCUAGAUUUAGGUUUUUUUGCAGCGCUCCAGGCUCUUUUUCAGAAGUUGUCUCCAGGUUCUAUUGAGGACAUUGUGUUGAAGGUGCAGCAGGCAUUCGAUGAGUAUCCACCUGAGAGAAGCAACAUAAUUUUCCUCACUCUCCAAUCCUGCAUGAUAGAAGUCUUGAAGCAAUCUGGAGGAAAUCGCUACAAAGUUCUGCACAUGCAGAAGGCUGUGAGAGAGAGGCUCGGCAAUCUCCCGGUGGCACUACAAUGUGCUGCAAGCAUUGUUAAUGAUGCCAUUGAAUCCCUACCUGAUGUUUAG